This 303-nucleotide unclassified non-coding RNA is filed under the name Hevea brasiliensis (rubber tree). Lineage: Eukaryota; Viridiplantae; Streptophyta; Magnoliopsida; Malpighiales; Euphorbiaceae. The record is from RNAcentral.
AUGCCUCACUAGCAUGACUAGUGGAAGGAAUUAGUUUUGAAUUUUAAUUCCCUCUCUGGCUGAAGUGUGUGUGCCAGUAGAGGAAGAAAUUGAAUGGGUACCCAUAGUUUAAGCUAGCUAGCCUUGAGAUUUCUCAUAAGCCUCUAGCAAUUGAGAUGAACAUUGUACUAAUGGCAUGAUAUAACUUUAUGUUUUUAUGAAAUCUUUUUGGGACUUCCGAAAUGAGAUUAUUUUGAUUAAAAUUAUAAAUUGUGUUUGGUAUUUGUUUUUCAUUUUUAGUACCAUAUUUGAAUAAAUGUGAUU